Molecule: long non-coding RNA, 2857 nt
Organism: Lycium barbarum (goji berry)
Lineage: Eukaryota; Viridiplantae; Streptophyta; Magnoliopsida; Solanales; Solanaceae
Exons: 3
Source: RefSeq, a predicted model, not a curated record
GUUUUAUUUAUAUCCACACAUAUGAAGGGAAAAACCACAAAAAACGCAACAAGAAAAAGUAGAAAGAAGUGGCUUUGUGUGUAAUACAGAGACUGUGUUAUGAGCUGAGUAACAGAGAAAGAGAUAGAUGAAGAAGGAGAAGGAAGAGUGUGAUCCAAAUUGAGAAAAAGGCUGAAUUUAUAGCAAGUCAACAUGAAAGAAAAAGGUUUUACAAAAUGGAAUUCUCAAAGCAGACUAGAUCAGUCAAACGGAUGACUAAGCAGGUUUUACGAAAUGGAAUUCUCAAAGCAGACUAGAUCAGACAAACAGAUCACUAAGCAGUUCUCCCUACCCCAAUUCUCUGUCAAGGUCAUCAACCUCUUCAUGUGUUAUAAUCCUGUUUGGUCAAGCUUAUUUUUCCUCCCAAAAAUACUUAUUUUUUCAGUAAGUGUUUAUUUGAAAAAAAGUGAGGAGUUUGGCAAGCUUUUGGGAGAAAAUAAGUAUUUCUAGAGAGUAGCAGAAGCAGUUUUUCAGAAGCUAAAAAAACAGCUUUUGCUCAAAAGCAUUUUUUUGAAAAGUACUUUUGAGAGAAAUAUAAAUAGAAGCACUUUUUAAAAGCUUGACCAAACAUUAAUUGCUGCUCAGAAGCACUUUUUUAAUUAAUUGGCUAAACACAAACUGUUUUCUCUAAAAAUACUUUUAAAAAAAUACCGUUUAAACUAAGUUAAACAUGCUAUUUUUUCAAGAAAUUCAGUCGUGGUCGUGUUUAAGGGAAAACGUUUGGUCUAUGGUGGGCCCUAUACAUGUUGGCGCUUUAUCUCAGUUUGAAAUUUAUAGUCUGUUUUGUCAAUUUUUUAAAAUUAGCUUAUUUUAAAAAAUAUUUUUUUAAAAAAUUACUUUUGAAAAAAGCAUUUUUGGCGAAAAACAAUUUAUGUUUGGCCAAUUAAUUAAAAAAAAUACUUUUGAGCAGUCAUUAGUAUUUGAUCAAGCUUUUAAAAAAUGCUUUUAUUUGUAUUUUUCUCAAAAGUGCUUUUCAAAAUGGGCAAAAACUGUUUUUUUAGCUUCUGAAAAACUGCUUCUGCUACUCCACAAAAACACUUAUUUUCUUCCAAAAGCUUGGCCAAACACUUCACUUUUUUUUCAAAUAAGCACUUAUUGAAAAUAUAAGUACUUUUGUGGGGAAUAUAAGCUUGGCCAAAUAGGCUAUUAAUCACUUUCUCGUCCAUUUCUUAUUAUAGCUGAAUAUUAUAUUAUACUAUUUCAUUCUAAAUGUUUAAUUAUGCUUCGAAUCUUCAAGUUCUAAUAAGGUAACACCUGCAAAACUAAUUUUUUUAAUCUAUAUGCAUCUAUAUCUAUCCACAUAUAUUAAAAGCACAAAUAAUUUUCGCUAAAAGUUAAAUGAUAAAAAUAUCUUCGAAACGUUGAUGGACUUUUAUAUCCUUUAUAUUUGAAUUAUGUCUUCAAAAUUAAUAUCCAAAAAUGUAAAAGUAUUUGGACUCCCAAGUCCUGUCACCGGUUAAAUGUUUGUUUGUGGCCUUGCCCGUGACAUGUGAAGGUAUUUUUUCCUCUUUUUGUUCUCUGUGUAAAUGGCUUUUCAAGGCAUCUAAGUACGUACUUCGUGAGUUCGUGUUGUUAAAUUUAUGCUUUUAGACCUUUAAUUUGUACUUUUGUUUUAAUUUUUUUUUUCUAAGGUUAUCCGUAGGCCUAUACGAGUAAAUUGUUAACAUGUAAUUAUUGAUUCUGAUACUUUAGAAUACAUUCGUUCGAUCUGCAACGUUUGUUAUAGACAGUUAAUCCAACUUAUUCAAUAGGACUUUUAACACCUAAACCAAAUUUUAUACAUCUGGAAGCUGAGUAUGCCCGCGCAUGUAACUUGUAAGAUUCUGGAGUCCUCCUGUUAAUUUCUUAAUUUUAUGGAUAUUAAUUACUUUUUGCAACCUUUAUCAUUAAAGACCAGCUUUUUGUUGUUUUUUCCAUGUUAGUGACCAAGGAUGAGUAUGUGAGUAAGAUUUUACUUCCAAAUAUGACCAAGUCUGUGAACACACUAAGGGCCUGUUUGGAAAGCCACCCAGGUAAUUGGAAUUGGAUGUAAUUGGGUGUAAUUACACAGUUUGGCCUGUUUGUUUGACCAGGUAAUUACACAGUUAGGUGGGAAUUGGAUGUAAUUGACAGAGUGUAAUUACACUCUCCAAUUCUCAAGGGGAGGCUGAGAAUUGGGUGUAAUUACACCCUGUAAUUACAGAGUUACUUUUUAGUUUUUUUUUUAAUUUAUAUUUUUUUAUUUCUUUGAUUUUCUAAUUUUUUUUUUAUUUCUAUUAAUUAAUUAUUUUUUUAUUUUUACUUUUUAAUUAUUUUUAUAAAUAUAUUUUUCUUUUUAUAUUAUUUAUGUUUCAUUUCCUUUCUUCUCAUUCCCAACCUUUACUUCUUGUGGUUCCAUGUAAUUGCUCGUAUUUUUUAUUUUAUUAAUUUAGCAUAACAGUAUUAUUAUUCUAAUUUUGGAAACUACAUCUCUUAAUAUUAGAAAGAAUGAGUCAUUAACAAACUUGACAUACAGCGAGUGACGUUAUUAAAGUAGAAUUUUGUUGUGAAUGUGGUUAUAGACUUAUAUUUUCCCUUUCUAUUGAAUUAUAGGAGUAUUUACUUAUGUUACGUUGUAACUUACUUAUGUAAUGUUGGAAUUUGGCAUAAGAGUAUUAUGUUAAAAAAAAUUCUUUUGGAUUCUUUUGAAUUUAAGUUAUAUUUUCGACUUUAAUUUUUUUGCUUUAGUACUAUUGACUUUUUAUUUCACAUUGCUUGUUAUUUAUUUUUUACUUAUAAUUGAUAGAAUUUUUGUUAAACAUUUGAAAAAUAUUGUGGCAUUAUAUUUAUAAAUAUUCCU